CAGGAAAAAUGGCCUAAUAAGCCAAAUCAGCAUUAUUCACACGCAUGCGCCAUGAACGUGUCAGAUAUUCCAGUCAAAGUUCACGGUUACCCACUUUUGUAAACAAAACCACGUUACUUGAGUGUGUGACCCAUUUAUAUCUUGCUUUUAAA
Thalassophryne amazonica is the source of this 152-nucleotide long non-coding RNA. RefSeq lists it as uncharacterized. The transcript has 3 exons. Lineage: Eukaryota; Metazoa; Chordata; Actinopteri; Batrachoidiformes; Batrachoididae. The record is from RefSeq and is a predicted model, not a curated record.